UCUCAUAUGGUGCAGUGGUUUAGCAUAUUAGUCUUUCACGGUAGUUAAAGACACUAAAGACCCGGGUUCGAACCCCGGUAUGAGAA
Molecule: transfer RNA, 86 nt
Rfam family: tRNA
About the family: Transfer RNA (tRNA) molecules are approximately 80 nucleotides in length. Their secondary structure includes four short double-helical elements and three loops (D, anti-codon, and T loops). Further hydrogen bonds mediate the characteristic L-shaped molecular structure. tRNAs have two regions of fundamental functional importance: the anti-codon, which is responsible for specific mRNA codon recognition, and the 3' end, to which the tRNAs corresponding amino acid is attached (by aminoacyl-tRNA synthetases). tRNAs cope with the degeneracy of the genetic code in two manners: having more than one tRNA (with a specific anti-codon) for a particular amino acid; and 'wobble' base-pairing, i.e. permitting non-standard base-pairing at the 3rd anti-codon position.
Source: Rfam